This 118-nucleotide ribosomal RNA is filed under the name teleost environmental sample. Its description in RNAcentral is "partial 16S ribosomal RNA". It matches the Rfam family "Bacterial large subunit ribosomal RNA", at positions 2483 to 2600 of the family's 2925-position model. Lineage: Eukaryota; Metazoa; Chordata; Actinopteri. The record is from RNAcentral.
CAAUCCCCUUUUAGAGCCCAUAUCGACAAGGGGGUUUACGACCUCGAUGUUGGAUCAGGACAUCCUAAUGGUGCAGCCGCUAUUAAGGGCUCGUUUGUUCAACGAUUAAAGUCCUACG